GACAGAGUGAGAGAGGGGGUGACUAGUGACAGAGUGAGGGAUGGGGUGACUAGUGACAGUCACCCCCUCUCUCACUCUGUCACUAGUCACCCCCUCUCUCACUCUGUCAU
Non-coding RNA from Pelobates cultripes (western spadefoot toad), 110 nucleotides. NCBI's taxonomy places the organism in Eukaryota, Metazoa, Chordata, Amphibia, Anura, Pelobatidae. The record is from the annotation of a GenBank genome assembly.